AGAGUUUGAUCAUGGCUCAGAACGAACGCUGGCGGCGUGCCUGACACAUGCAAGUCGAACGCGAAAGGGGGCAACCCCCGGUAGCGUGGCAGACGGGUGAGUAACACGUGGGUAACCUACCCGGAGGUGGGGGAUAACCCUUCGAAAGGAGGGCUAAUACCGCAUGACAUCGUGAGGACCUCGGUCUUUGCGAUCAAAGCUGGCCUCUGUUUACAAGCUAGCGCCACCGGAGGGGCCCGCGCCCCAUUAGCUAGUUGGUGAGGUAACGGCUCACCAAGGCGACGAUGGGUAGCCGGCCUGAGAGGGCGACCGGCCACACUGGAACUGCGACACGGUCCAGACUCCUACGGGAGGCAGCAGUGAGGAAUCUUGCGCAAUGGGCGAAAGCCUGACGCAGCGACGCCGCGUGGAGGAUGAAGGUCUUCGGAUUGUAAACUCCUGUCGAGUGGGACGAAUGCCAUGAGGGUGAACAACCCUCGUGGUUGACGGUACCGCUGGAGGAAGCCCCGGCUAACUCCGUGCCAGCAGCCGCGGUAAUACGGAGGGGGCCAGCGUUGUUCGGAAUCAUUGGGCGUAAAGGGCGCGUAGGCGGCCGAUCAAGUCGGAGGUGAAAUCCCUCGGCUCAACUGAGGAACUGCCUCCGAUACUGUUCGGCUUGAGUCCUGGAGAGGGUAGUGGAAUUCCCAGUGUAGCGGUGAAAUGCGUAGAGACUGGGAAGAACACCAGUGGCGAAGGCGGCUACCUGGACAGGUACUGACGCUGAAGCGCGAAAGCUAGGGGAGCAAACAGGAUUAGAUACCCUGGUAGUCCUAGCUGUAACGAUGGGCACUUGGGUGUUGCGGGUAUCGACCCCUGCAGUGCCGAAGCUAACGCAUUAAGUGCCCCGCCUGGGGGAGUACGGUCGCAAGGCUGAAACUCAAUGAAUUGACGG
This 931-nucleotide ribosomal RNA is filed under the name uncultured bacterium. RNAcentral's name for it is "SSU rRNA". It matches the Rfam family "Bacterial small subunit ribosomal RNA", at positions 8 to 916 of the family's 1533-position model. The record is from RNAcentral.